CAUCUCUACCAUCGAACAGAACUUACAUUUUCCUGUGCAUCUAAUCUUUUUUAUAUAUAUCUCUAUAUCUCAUAACUUGCAUCCUACUCGGUGCUAAGUAACAUGUUUGCCAGGAAAAAAGAAUCCCUCCUUGGUAAAUGUUUGAAAUAAUCUGUGUGUUCUAGGAUUCUUCUGUGGAACCAAAGUUUGUUCAGGGGGAGGGG
RNAcentral lists this long non-coding RNA (203 nucleotides) under Elaeis guineensis (African oil palm). RNAcentral's name for it is "long non-coding RNA (EGUI_LNC015873)". Lineage: Eukaryota; Viridiplantae; Streptophyta; Magnoliopsida; Arecales; Arecaceae. The record is from RNAcentral.